AUCGCUUCUUGGCCUUUUGGCUAAGAUCAAGUGUAGUGUCUGUUCUUAUCAGUUUAAUAAAUUAUGCAGCCUCAGGUAUUGCACUUUUUUUUUUGGUUGGGGGAGGGGACAGGGUCUUGCUCUGUUGCCCAGGCUGGAGGGCAAUAGCGCAAUCACAGCUCACUGAAGCCUAGAUCUC
Molecule: small nuclear RNA, 178 nt
Organism: Nomascus leucogenys (northern white-cheeked gibbon)
Lineage: Eukaryota; Metazoa; Chordata; Mammalia; Primates; Hylobatidae
Gene: U2
Rfam family: U2 spliceosomal RNA
About the family: U2 is a small nuclear RNA (snRNA) component of the spliceosome (involved in pre-mRNA splicing). Complementary binding between U2 snRNA (in an area lying towards the 5' end but 3' to hairpin I) and the branchpoint sequence (BPS) of the intron results the bulging out of an unpaired adenosine, on the BPS, which initiates a nucleophilic attack at the intronic 5' splice site, thus starting the first of two transesterification reactions that mediate splicing.
Source: Ensembl